RNAcentral lists this ribosomal RNA (484 nucleotides) under uncultured bacterium. Its description in RNAcentral is "partial 16S ribosomal RNA". It matches the Rfam family "Bacterial small subunit ribosomal RNA", at positions 30 to 507 of the family's 1533-position model. The record is from RNAcentral.
AUUGAACGCUGGCGGCAGGCCUAACACAUGCAAGUCGAGCGGAUGAAGGUAGCUUGCUCCUGGAUUCAGCGGCGGACGGGUGAGUAAUGCCUAGGAAUCUGCCUGGUAGUGGGGGAUAACGUCCGUAAACGGGCGCUAAUACCGCAUACGUCCUGAGGGAGAAAGUGGGGGAUCUUCGGACCUCACGCUAUCAGAUGAGCCUAGGUCGGAUUAGAUAGUUGGUGGGGUAAAGGCCUACCAAGGCGACGAUCCGUAACUGGUCUGAGAGGAUGAUCAGUCACACUGGAACUGAGACACGGCCCAGACUCCUACGGGAGGCAGCGGUGGGGAAUAUUGGACGAUGGGCGAGAGCCUGAUCCAGCAAUGCCGCGUGUGUGAAGAAGGUCUUCGGAUUGUAAAGCACUUUAAGUUGGGAGAAAGGGCAGUAAGUUAGUCCCUUGCUGUUUUGACGUUACCAACAGAAUAAGCACCGGCUAACUUCGUG